GCCGGGGUAGCUCAAUUGGUAGAGCAGCUGCCUUGUAAGCAGCAGGUUGAGAGUUCGAGUCUCUUCUCCGGCU
Molecule: transfer RNA, 73 nt
Rfam family: tRNA
About the family: Transfer RNA (tRNA) molecules are approximately 80 nucleotides in length. Their secondary structure includes four short double-helical elements and three loops (D, anti-codon, and T loops).